Spodoptera frugiperda (fall armyworm) is the source of this 5515-nucleotide long non-coding RNA. RefSeq lists it as uncharacterized. The transcript has 2 exons. The record is from RefSeq and is a predicted model, not a curated record. NCBI's taxonomy places the organism in Eukaryota, Metazoa, Arthropoda, Insecta, Lepidoptera, Noctuidae.
AGUAGACAAGCAUACUACAAAGUAAAUGAUUAUAUAGAAGAUAAAAAUGCUUGGAGGCAAGCUGGUCCGGCUCCACAGGAUAACUAAUAAAACGUAGUAAUAUAACCAUGUUAUUUCGAUGUAUUCUGUACUUUAUACAAUUAUUGUAAAUGUGAGAGCCCUGUAAUUAACUGAAAUCAAAUUAGACUAGUAGAAUGCAUUUAUGUCAGCUUGGAGUUGUCAUGCUCACUCAAAGGUCUCAUUGGCGGUGGCACGGGCAUUGGAUCGCUCGAUUCCCUGCAACAUGGUUGAGUUGGGCGGUGCUGGUGUACGUGUCAUGUUCGUGAACGGGCGCUGUCAACUGGGACUGGUCAGCUCCGGACUAGAGAAUACAAUCCCGGGAUCCCGAAUCUCGGGAUCCCGGGAUCCCGGCCGUUUUCUUGUCCCGAAAAUCCCGGGACUGUACUUGGCUAAUCUCGGGAUUUUUAGGAUUGACAUUAAAGGAAAAGUUACAGCUGGAAAUUGAUAAGAGUAUGAAUUCCCCAGAUCCUAAAGUACAAAUACAAAAUGAAUCAGGGUUGGCAAAUAGUAUUAGACCGUUAGACGUGAAAUGAGCCUGUUCGAAAAUGGAGGAACUCGUGGAUAUCACUUAGAAAUAGCAAAUAAAUAUCUAAUGUCUAUUCCUCCAACCAGCGUAGAACCUGAGCGAGCGUUUUCAGCUGCUGCUUAUAUUGGCAAUAAACUACGAAGCAGGCUUGGAAGUGAAACGUUGGAUGCUUUGAUAUUCCUGCGAUUGUAUUUUCGAAAUUCUAAUUAGUUUUUUUGUGUUGUCUUUUAAAUUUCUUGCAAAAGUAUUUUGAUUGUUUUGUCAAUUUUCGUUUCGUACUGUAUUGUGUUGUGAUGUGAUUUAUAUUGUGCAACGAUAUUAAAAUCAUUUUUUUAAAUAACUCAAGUUCUGUUUUCAUUUGAGCCCAAUUAGAAACCACAAAGUCUAAUCCCGGGAUAGCCCCGGGAUCCCGGGAUUACACAUUUAAAAUCCCGUAAUCCCGGGAUUGAAAAACAUGCUCGGGAUUGUAUUCUCUACUCCGGACUGCAUUAAUUUUUAUUGUCCUCUAGGUUAUUCUCUUUUUCUGUCACUUUGACUGUAUAUUAGUUUUACAUUGUUCUCACAUAGCUGAAGUAAUCGAAGAAUUGUAUUGUAAAUCUGAUUGAAAAAGAGUAACCUAUGGAGUUUCUUGCUCGUUCUUCUCCAUAGGAAUCUACACUUUGGAACGAGCAAAUAGCUUCACUAGAGGACUGACCGACAGACAGACGUUAUUAAUAUUAUUAUAUUUGCUUUGACGUUCAAAAGUGCCUUCCUGGUCUAUUUGAAAUAAAUGAUUUUGACUUUUGACUUUGACUUUGAAAUGUAAGCGUCCACAGGCCCGCAUCGUAUGCAUUGCACGCGUCGCGCGCAACGGAUUUUAGUUUGUCUUGUAUAGAAACUCUUACAACUGCGUCCACUGAUUCGCAUCGUACGCAUCGCACGCAACGGAUUUUAGUUUGUCUUGUAUAGAAAUUCAUACAACUGCGUCCACUGAUCCGCAUCGUACGGACCGUAUCAUCAGCAAUGCCUACAUGCGAUGCGUACUGAUGACGUCAUACGGAUUGCGUACGAUGCGGGCCUGUGGAAGCUUACUUUAACACCGAUCGUUGGUGGAGUGGUCGCAAUUGCGAUUGCCGGACAAAGGGUCUCGGGUUUAAUUCCCGGGUCGGGCAAAGUAUUACUGGGCUUUUUUGCGUUUUUCGAAAUUUUCUCAGUAGUAGCACGGAGUCUGGAAAUAUGGUUAGUGUAUGACAAUAGGCUCAUCCCCUAUUACAUGGGACUUGUAACACAAAUGGUGAAAAGUGGGUGUACAUUGCAUUGUGGCAUUACGUGCCUUAAUGUGCUCUGCCUACCCCUUCGGGGAUAAAAGACGUGACGUUACAAUCAUUACAAAUUUACAACCAUAAUCUCCACGCUUGGUAAAUAGGUUAGAGAUUGCAGUUUCCACCUAAUAUGGAGUUUCUUAGUUGACUCUUACAAUAUUUACCCGCUUGAAAGGUAGGGCUGAUGAUAAAUUACCAAAUAUACAACCUAUACCAACCAUUAUACUACAUAACUAAAACAUGGCAGUUAUAAUUAGGUACUUAAAACAGUAUUAAUUAAGAUUAAUUUUAUUUAGUUUCGCCUUUCUCCCAGUCUUCAAAAACAUAGUGACAUCUAUUGAAUUACAUUCGAACUACUAAAAGCUUUGUAACUGACAACUGUUGGUAAGAGACACUAUGCAAAUAAUUCUUUAUAAUUUACAGAGAUGGCGCUUAUAUAAAAUAUUUAUGUCGCAUUUUUCAAAUGCUUAGCUUGAGCCUAAUUAAUACCUACUAGAUAGUAGAUUCUAUUUUAGUUAAACUAUCUUUAAUUUAUUAAAUUUACAAUAUUAUUCCGUAUAAACAAAACUAUAAGUGUGGCCAAUUGAAUUAUCCGUCAGUCUGUCAGUGAAGCUAGAUGAUCGAACCAAAGUGUAGGUAGCUUCGAAUGGAAAAGAACGAGGAAGAAACUUCAUCGUUACUCUGUCAAAAUUGAUUUUGUUAGUUGUACCUAGUUCCUUGACGUUAUUAGUAACUUAUAAUGAACAAGUGGCGUCAUACAAAUAAUGGCGCAUUUACAUUAGUCGGUUAGACCGUAUUCGUCUGCAGGCCGUAUUCGGUUGCCAACUACAUAAUAUAAACAGGUAUUCGUUUGGCCGUAUUCGGUUUGGCCGUAUUCGGUUGGACCGAAUUAAUUCGGUUUCUGUUAAACCGAAUGCGGCCGCCGCCUUCGGUGACCGACCUACGACCGACCUAAUGUAAACGCACCAUAACACUCUUUCUUAAAAGUGUAGUUCUAAAAGCACCCGUGUGUCAUUGAAUUUGAUAGAUACCCUAGAUAUUUCUUGCUGUGGGAAGAUGCUGGACAUAUCGUAGACUGAGUUUCACACCAACGCAUCCAUCUUUUGGCUCUAAACAGUAGGACUGCAAUCCAACUGCAAUCCAACUGCAAAUUGCAGUUCAAAGGCAGUUUCAAUGCAGUUGACACGACUGCAAUAGGACUGCAAAUCAAAUGUGCACUGCAAUUCGAGCCUUUGAAAACUCGGCAUCACAAACCUUCUAUCAACCAUAGAACAAUGUCACUCAACAAUUUUGACGUUUUAAUGAAAAAAAAAGAGUACUUAGUCCAAAUUUUGAUCUAGAGGAUGUGCAUCAUCCGUGGAGUGUGUCCGUAAUGAGAAUAAGAGAGAAAGAGAUACCUUGUUGGGUGAAUUAAAAAUCAAUAAGCGCUUCGCUUCAAACUUCCUAAUGCGAACUGCUAGGGAGUGGAAUUCUUUGCCGAAGUCUGUGUUUCCUGAUGUGUAUAACCUGGGUGUCUUCAAAGCCCGAGUGAAUAGGUUGCUUAUCGGCAGACGUGCUCCAUCGUUGGCCGCAUCAUCACUUACCAUCAGGCGUGAUAGCAGCCAAACGUCGACCCAUCAAACAUCACACAAAGAGGUUGCUCCGUGCGGGAAUUGAACCCGCUACCCGUUGCGUGGCAGCCGGUUGCCCAGCCACCGCGUCAACGGUGCAGCUAAGUCACUUAUACCACGGAUAAUGCAUCCGUUAUUAAUUGUGGGACAGCCAAGCUUCGGCACGAAUGGGCCGGCUCGACCGAAGUGAUACCACGGCCUCACAGAAAACCGACGUGAAACAACGCUUGCGUUUUGUUUCGUUGUGUAAGUGACGUUUUAGACUCAAAUACCCCCAUUCCCAAUCUUCCCAAUUUCCGAAUCCCCAACAACUUAAAUUGAACGGCCCAAGAGGCCGGCAACGCACAUGUAAUGCCUCUGGUAUUUCGGGGAUCCAUGGCGGCAAUUGCUAAGCAUCAGGUGAUCCGCCUGCUCGUUUACCAGGUUUUACUAUAAAAAAAAAAAACGAAAAAUGGUUUGAUCUGAUCCCUGCCGCCUUUUCCUCAACGCGACAGUCCUUCCAUCCUUAUUAUACAGCGUGUAACAAAAUACCAGGAUGAUUUUCCAGAAAAAAAAAACACAAAAAGUUAACGACGUCAUUAUCCUCAACCAAAAGUUAACAAUUCUGCUGAUUGAAACACAAAAUUUGGUUUCAGUAAAUUAAGCUGUGACACUGUUUCAAAGUUUCAAAGUCAAAGCAUUUAUUUCAAUUAAUCCUUAAUUAGGCACUUUUGAAACGUCAACGUCUGUUCUCAACUAAUCCAAUAAAAAUAAGGAUGAUAAUAGGAUACCACGAUGCUUAAUAACGCGGGAGAAUAAUGAUUUGUUAAAUAAAAGUUAAAGUUUUUUGAAAAAUCACACACCUACUCAUAUACAUCAAGAAGCACUGAAGAAUACAGGUUGAAUAGAAUCUCUACACAAAGUUUCAGCUCAAAAUACGAUAAAAAAAAUUGGUACCAAAUACUUGUUGUCGCAUGUAUUUUUAUAUUUUUCUUAUACAGAGGUACCCGUGCCUAUUUAUCUACGUAAUACGUAAUAUUAUGUUACGUGGUAACGUCGGUAUUCUAAACACGAAUACCUUAGUACAAUAGGGUAGAUGACUAAUUUUUAUUUUAAUGGCCGUCUUGUAGAUUAUUUUAAAAUAUCAGACAUGUAUUUUUUAUUUUCUUACGGAAACAAAUACUUCCGAAAAUAUAUCCAUUUGAAAUAUCGCGUAACAUCACUUUUGAGUACGUUUUAUACUGAAUAGUGAAGUAGUUAGUUCCCAAUCCUAAACUUUGAUUCGUUUUAUCUAAAUAUUGUUAUCUUAUAUGACAAAACUAGCUGCUUCCACGCGGUUCCACCCGCCCUGCUUGGCUCCUAUUGAUCAUAGCGUGAUGUUUUAUAGCCUAUAGCCUUCCUCGAUCAAUGCACUAUUCAACACAAAAAGAAUUAUUCAAAUUGGACCAGUAGUUCGCGCGUUCAAACAAACAAACAAUCAAACAAACAAACUCUUCAGCUUUAUAAUAUUAGUAUAGAUAAAAAAUACGUGUCUAAUACUUUUUCAUUACCUAACUGGCGGAUUAAUUAGAGUUUUAAUUUUCAUACCCCGUGAUCGUCCCUAUUUACAUUAUUAUCCCUAUUACUGUUUAGUUACACGUAUGUUAUCGUACAUUACUCAAAUAGCAUUACUCGGCGGUCACGCCUGUGACCCCUCAACCAAUGAGGUAGUUAACUAUUUUAAUUUAACUUUGAGUAAUAAAUAAAACACAAACAGCAGCUGGUUAAUGUUUAUUGAUAACGUUACAGUAACACGUUUACUGGGCGUGUAAGCAAGAUUAAAACCUGACGCAGUCGCAGGGAGCCGCUGGAUGCAGGCCGCUUCCAACCGACCGCUCGAGCCAUUGGGGGAGGCGUAUGUUCAGCAGUGGACGACUUGUGAUCGAUGUGAUGACGAUGAAGAAGUUGAGUUUGAAACUUGUAAAAUUAGCUACUUGUCAGUCCUUCUGGUCGAUUUCUUGAUCUGAACGCCAGGUUUAAUCUGAAUCGUUUGUUUUUUU